UGGGAGCGGCAGUACAGCCGCCAGAGCCGCUCGCCCUCGCCCCGCUACGGUCGGGAGUACAGCUCAUCCCGCAGACGUUCCAGGUCCCGCUCCCGGAGCCCCCACCACCGGCACUGAACUGGGGGGGCUGGGGGGUGGGUUUUGGGGGGGUUUUUUGGGGGGGGGGGUCAGAGCUUGGGCUGAGAA
Molecule: long non-coding RNA, 186 nt
Organism: Colius striatus (speckled mousebird)
Lineage: Eukaryota; Metazoa; Chordata; Aves; Coliiformes; Coliidae
Exons: 3
Source: RefSeq, a predicted model, not a curated record